This 450-nucleotide ribosomal RNA is filed under the name uncultured bacterium. RNAcentral's name for it is "partial 16S ribosomal RNA". It matches the Rfam family "Bacterial small subunit ribosomal RNA", at positions 338 to 795 of the family's 1533-position model. The record is from RNAcentral.
CCUACGGGUGGCUGCAGUGGGGAAUUUUGCACAAUGGGCGAAAGCCUGAUGCAGCAACGCCGCGUGUGUGAUGAAGGUCUUCGGAUCGUAAAGCACUUUCGACCGGGAAGAACAAGUCUGGCCACACCAGACCCUGACGGUACCGGGAGAAGAAGCACCGGCUAACUCUGUGCCAGCAGCCGCGGUAAUACAGAGGGUGCAAGCGUUAUUCGGAAUUAUUGGGAGUAAGGCGCGUGUGGGCGGCUGAGGAGAAAGCCCUCGGCUCAACCUAGGAAGUGCACCCGAAACUGCUGAGCUUGAGUGCCGGAGAGGAUGGCGGAAUACCCCAAGUAGAGGUGAAAUUCGUAGAUAUGGGGUGGAACACCGGUGGCGAAGGCGGCCAUCUGGACGGUAACUGACGCUGAGACGCGAAAGCGUGGGGAGCAAACAGGAUUAGAUACCCCGGUAGUC